UACGAAGGGGGGCUAGCGUUGCUCGGAAUGACUGGGCGUAAAGGGCGCGUAGGCGGUUUGUACAGUCAGAUGUGAAAUUCCUGGGCUUAACCUGGGGGCUGCAUUUGAUACGUGCAGACUUGAGUGAGGAAGAGGGUUGUGGAAUUCCCAGUGUAGAGGUGAAAUUCGUAGAUAUUGGGAAGAACACCGGUGGCGAAGGCGGCAACCUGGUCCUUGACUGACGCUGAGGAGCGAAAGCCAGGGGAGCAAACGGG
RNAcentral lists this ribosomal RNA (254 nucleotides) under uncultured bacterium. Its description in RNAcentral is "partial 16S ribosomal RNA". It matches the Rfam family "Bacterial small subunit ribosomal RNA", at positions 524 to 776 of the family's 1533-position model. The record is from RNAcentral.